AUUCCCUUAGUAACGGCGAGUGAAGAGGGAUGAGCUCAAAUUUGUAAUCUGACGCGUCGYGAGGCCGUCCGAGUUGUAGUCUAGAGAAGCGUCUUCCGUGCCGGACCGCGUACAAGUUCCCUGGAAAGGGACAUCGUAGAGGGUGAGAAUCCCGUGUCGCGACGCGGACCGCCGGUGCACUGUGAUGCGCUCUCGAAGAGUCGAGUUGUUUGGGAAUGCAGCUCAAAAUGGGUGGUAAACUCCAUCUAAAGCUAAAUACGGGCGAAAGACCGAUAGCGAACAAGUACCGUGAGGGAAAGAUGAAAAGCACUUUGGAAAGAGAGUUAAAUCAGUACGUGAAAUCGUUGAAAGGGAAACGCUUGGACUCAUGUCACGUCCACCGCGAAUUCAGCUUCCGUCUUCRCSGACGGAGGUGCACUUUCCGGUGGACGGGUCAGCAUCGAUUUCGAAAGUCAGACGGAGUCCCAUGGGAACGUGGCACUCCCUCACGGGAGGUGUGUUAUUUAGCCCGGGGACUCGGUGGCGGUUGGGAUCGAGGAACGCAGCGCGCCUUCACAGGCCGGGGGUAUU
Molecule: ribosomal RNA, 570 nt
Filed under: Mesophellia glauca
Lineage: Eukaryota; Fungi; Basidiomycota; Agaricomycetes; Hysterangiales; Mesophelliaceae
Description: eukaryotic LSU rRNA
Rfam family: Eukaryotic large subunit ribosomal RNA
Source: RNAcentral